GAAAUGCGAUAACUAAUGUGAAUUGCAGAAUUCAGUGAAUCAUCGAGUCUUUGAACGCACAUUGCGCCCGCCGGUAUUCCGGCGGGCAUGCCUGUCCGAGCGUCAUUUCGUCCCUCAAGCCCCCGCGCUUGGUGUUGGGCGCCCCCGCGGGCCUCUCUGGCCGGCGGGCGCCCCAAGUGCAUCGGCGGUCCCGCCUGGCGGCUCCCUGCGUAGUAGAACCUCUUCUCGCAUCGGGUCCCGGGCGCGCGGCCAGCCGCUAACCCCCCCUCAAUCGUACCAACGGUUGACCUCGGAUCAGGUAGGACUACCCGCUGAACUUAA
This 321-nucleotide unclassified non-coding RNA is filed under the name uncultured Microascales. Its description in RNAcentral is "sequence contains ITS1". The stretch from base 1 to 105 matches the Rfam family "5.8S ribosomal RNA", at positions 50 to 154 of the family's 154-position model. The record is from RNAcentral. Lineage: Eukaryota; Fungi; Ascomycota; Sordariomycetes; Microascales.